Molecule: ribosomal RNA, 516 nt
Filed under: uncultured bacterium
Lineage: Bacteria
Description: partial 16S ribosomal RNA
Rfam family: Bacterial small subunit ribosomal RNA
Source: RNAcentral
GACGAACGCUGGCGGCAUGCCUAAUACAUGCAAGUCGAGCGGAGUGGAUGAGAAGCUCGCUUCUCUGACGCUUAGCGGCGGACGGGUGAGUAACACGUAGGCAACCUGCCUUUCAGUUUGGGAUAACUUCCGGAAACGGAUGCUAAUACCGAAUACAUCAUCUUCUGGCAUCAGAGAAUGAGGAAAGACGGCGCAAGCUGUCACUGAGAGAUGGGCCUGCGGCGCAUUAGCUAGUUGGUGGGGUAAUGGCCCACCAAGGCGACGAUGCGUAGCCGACCUGAGAGGGUGAACGGCCACACUGGGACUGAGACACGGCCCAGACUCCUACGGGAGGCAGCAGUAGGAAAUCUUCCACAAUGGGCGAAAGCCUGAUGGAGCAAUGCCGCGUGAGUGAUGAAGGUUUUCGGAUCGUAAAGCUCUGUUGCCAGGGAAGAACGUCCGGGUGAGUAACUGCACCCGGAGUGACGGUACCUGAGAAGAAAGCCCCGGCUAACUACGUGCCAGCCGCCGCCGUAA